This 253-nucleotide ribosomal RNA is filed under the name uncultured bacterium. RNAcentral describes it as "partial 16S ribosomal RNA". It matches the Rfam family "Bacterial small subunit ribosomal RNA", at positions 524 to 776 of the family's 1533-position model. The record is from RNAcentral.
UACGGAGGGUGCAAGCGUUAUCCGGAUUCACUGGGUUUAAAGGGUCCGUAGGCGGUUUUGUAAGUCAGUGGUGAAAGCCCAUCGCUCAACGGUGGAACGGCCAUUGAUACUGCAAGACUUGAAUUAUUAGGAAGUAACUAGAAUAUGUAGUGUAGCGGUGAAAUGCUUAGAGAUUACAUGGAAUACCAAUUGCGAAGGCAGGUUACUACUAAUGGAUUGACGCUGAUGGACGAAAGCGUGGGGAGCGAACAGG